CAGAUAUCACCUUUCUCGGGAAUCCUGAAAAAGGAUAAACUGCGGGAAAUUCUGGAGCUAAAUACAUGCGAACUAUACUCCAACGCAAGGCGGGGGGCAAAUUAUUAGAACAGACCAAAACGUUUUCGGACGUUGUUUGUUGACUCUGAAUACCGUCGUUUACUGUCAGUUUCGACUGACUCUAUCCGAGAAGGGUGUCUGCCCUUUCAACUAGAUGGUAAUCUAUUGGACUACCAUGGUUGUUACGGGUAACGGAGAAUUAGGGUUCGACUCCGGAGAGGGAGCCUUAGAAACGGCUACCACGUCCAAGGAAGGCAGCAGGCGCGAAACUUAUCCACUGUUGAGUAUGAGAUAGUGACUAAAAAUAUAAAGACUCAUCCUUUUGGAUGAGUUAUUUCAAUGAGUUGAAUAUAAAUUAUUCUUCGAGUAGCAAGGAGAGGGCAAGUCUGGUGCCAGCAGCCGCGGUAAUUCCAGCUCUCCUAGUGUAUCUCGUUAUUGCUGCGGUUAAAAAGCUCGUAGUUAUAUCUAGGUUACGUGCCGCAGUUCGCAAUUUGCGUUAACUGUGGUCGUGACUUCUAAUUUGCUGGUUUGAGGUUGGGUUCGCCCUUCAACUGCCAGCAGGUUUACCUUGAAUAAAUCAGAGUGCUCAAUACAGGCGCUUGCUUGAAUAGCUCAUCAUGGAAUAAUGAAACAGGACUUCGGUUCUUUUUGUUGGUUCUAGAAUUGAUCUAAUGGUUAAGAGGGACAAACCGGGGGCAUUCGUAUCAUUACGCGAGAGGUGAAAUUCGUGGACCGUAGUGAGACGCCCAAUAGCGAAAGCAUUUGCCAAGAAUGUCUUCAUUAAUCAAGAACGAAAGUCAGAGGUUCGAAGGCGAUUAGAUACCGCCCUAGUUCUGACCGUAAACGAUGCCAUCUCGCGAUUCGGAGGGUUCAUGCCCUACCGAGGAGCUACCCGGAAACGAAAGUCUUUCGGUUCCGGGGGUAGUAUGGUUGCAAAGCUGAAACUUAAAGAAAUUGACGGAAGGGCACCACAAGGCGUGGAGCUUGCGGCUUAAUUUGACUCAACACGGGAAAACUCACCCGGUCCGGACACUAUUAGGACUGACAGAUUGAAAGCUCUUUCUCGAUUUGG
This is a non-coding RNA of Caenorhabditis japonica, 1132 nucleotides long. The record is from Rfam. Lineage: Eukaryota; Metazoa; Nematoda; Chromadorea; Rhabditida; Rhabditidae.